UACGUAGGGAGCAAGCGUUGUCCGGAAUCAUUGGGCGUAAAGCGCGCGUAGGUGGCCAUGUAAGUCCGCUGUGAAAGUCAAAGGCUCAACCUUUGAAAGCCGGUGGAUACUGCAUGGCUAGAGUACGGAAGAGGCGAGUGGAAUUCCCGGUGUAGCGGUGAAAUGCGCAGAUAUCGGGAGGAACACCAAUUGCGAAGGCAGCUCGCUGGGACGUCACUGACGCUGAGACGCGAAAGCGUGGGGAGCAAACAGG
This 253-nucleotide ribosomal RNA is filed under the name uncultured bacterium. RNAcentral describes it as "partial 16S ribosomal RNA". It matches the Rfam family "Bacterial small subunit ribosomal RNA", at positions 524 to 776 of the family's 1533-position model. The record is from RNAcentral.